RNAcentral lists this ribosomal RNA (497 nucleotides) under uncultured bacterium. RNAcentral's name for it is "partial 16S ribosomal RNA". It matches the Rfam family "Bacterial small subunit ribosomal RNA", at positions 28 to 507 of the family's 1533-position model. The record is from RNAcentral.
GAUGAACGCUGGCGGCGUGCCUAAUACAUGCAAGUCGAGCGAACAGACGAGGAGCUUGCUCCUCUGACGUUAGCGGCGGACGGGUGAGUAACACGUGGAUAACCUACCUAUAAGACUGGGAUAACGUCGGGAAACCGGAGCUAAUACCGGAUAAUAUAUUGAACCGCAUGGUUCAAUAGUGAAAGACGGUUUUGCUGUCACUUAUAGAUGGAUCCGCGCCGCAUUAGCUAGUUGGUAAGGUAACGGCUUACCAAGGCAACGAUGCGUAGCCGACCUGAGAGGGUGAUCGGCCACACUGGAACUGAGACACGGUCCAGACUCCGACGGGAGGCAGCAGUAGGGAAUCUUCCGCAAUGGGCGAAAGCUUGACGGAGCAACGCCGCGUGAGUGAUGAAGGUCUUCGGAUCGUAAAACUCUGUUAUUAGGGAAGAACAAAUGUGUAAGUAACUAUGCACGUCUUGACGGUACCUAAUCAGAAAGCCACGGCUAACUACGUG